RNAcentral lists this ribosomal RNA (495 nucleotides) under uncultured bacterium. RNAcentral describes it as "partial 16S ribosomal RNA". It matches the Rfam family "Bacterial small subunit ribosomal RNA", at positions 30 to 507 of the family's 1533-position model. The record is from RNAcentral.
UGAACGCUGGCGGAGUGCCUAAUACAUGCAAGUCGAGCGAACGGACGAGAAGCUUGCUUCUCUGAUGUUAGCGGCGGACGGGUGAGUAACACGUGGAUAACCUACCUAUAAGACUGGGAUAACUUCGGGAAACCGGAGCUAAUACCGGAUAAUAUUUUGAACCGCAUGGUUCAAAAGUGAAAGACGGUCUUGCUGUCACUUAUAGAUGGAUCCGCGCUGCAUUAGCUAGUUGGUAAGGUAACGGCUUACCAAGGCAACGAUGCAUAGCCGACCUGAGAGGGUGAUCGGCCACACUGGAACUGAGACACGGUCCAGACUCCUACGGGAGGCAGCAGUAGGGAAUCUUCCGCAAUGGGCGAAAGCCUGACGGAGCAACGCCGCGUGAGUGAUGAAGGUCUUCGGAUCGUAAAACUCUGUUAUUAGGGAAGAACAUAUGUGUAAGUAACUGUGCACAUCUUGACGGUACCUAAUCAGAAAGCCACGGCUAACUACGUG